CUUUCAUCUUCUAAUGAACUCCGUUGUUAUGAUGAAGUCCUUAGGACUAUUUAAGUUCGAUAAAGAGAGGAUUUAUUGAUUAGUCCUUAAAACUGUUCACGACCAAAUGAUAGGCUGUUAAUAAGGACAACAGCUUCUAUCGAGCAUAGGUUGCUGUAGGCCAUAUGGGUUGGUUGUCAUCUUAACCAAGGAGUGUGGAGAUACUGAUAUGGCAUACA
Molecule: long non-coding RNA, 218 nt
Filed under: Elaeis guineensis (African oil palm)
Lineage: Eukaryota; Viridiplantae; Streptophyta; Magnoliopsida; Arecales; Arecaceae
Description: long non-coding RNA (EGUI_LNC067836)
Source: RNAcentral